GUGUUUUAUGAAAGUAAAGAAAUAGGUUAACAGUCCCCAUGACAAGAAUGGAAAACAUUCUCAGGACCUAUACCACAUAUAUACAUUUAAAGUAUCACUCAGCCUGGGCACCAUGGUGAGGGCCUGUCUCUACAAAAUUUAAAUCUUA
This is a small nuclear RNA of Nomascus leucogenys (northern white-cheeked gibbon), 148 nucleotides long. The record is from Ensembl. NCBI's taxonomy places the organism in Eukaryota, Metazoa, Chordata, Mammalia, Primates, Hylobatidae.